This 450-nucleotide ribosomal RNA is filed under the name uncultured bacterium. Its description in RNAcentral is "bacterial SSU rRNA". It matches the Rfam family "Bacterial small subunit ribosomal RNA", at positions 329 to 794 of the family's 1533-position model. The record is from RNAcentral.
AGCCAGACUCCUACGGGAGGCAGCAGUGGGGGAUAUUGCACAAUGGGGGAAACCCUGAUGCAGCGACGCCGCGUGGGUGAAGAAGUAUUUCGGUAUGUAAAGCCCUAUCAGCAGGGAAGAAAGAAGACGGUACCUGACUAAGAAGCCCCGGCUAACUACGUGCCAGCAGCCGCGGUAAUACGUAGGGGGCGAGCGUUAUCCGGAUUCACUGGGUGUAAAGGGAGCGUAGACGGCCGUGCAAGCCAGGAGUGAAAGCCCGGGGCCCAACCCCGGGACUGCUCUUGGAACUGUGCGGCUGGAGUGCGGGAGGGGCAGGCGGAAUUCCUGGUGUAGCGGUGAAAUGCGUAGAUAUCAGGAGGAACACCGGCGGCGAAGGCGGCCUGCUGGACGACAACUGACGCUGAGGCUCGAAAGCGUGGGGAGCAAACAGGAUUAGAUACCCUCGUACGC